ACAUAAGUCUACUUAACUCUGCCCCCUGUUGAUAACUUGCCACAAUAUGUAUCUAUGCCCCAGCGAACUGCUCUAAUCUCUUCUUAGGCAAAGCACAGCUGCCUAAAAUAUGUAAAGCUGUGUUUAAUCGUCUUCACCUCCAGAUUCUCCCCAGAAGAGACGGGGAGAGGGGGGUGGUGAGCACAGCCUCGGAGCCCAUGGACGACUUCAAACAGCCAGCAGAGGAUCCCCCACCAGAAUAGAAACAGCAUACCAUUCCAACAACCUCUGCAGUAUGUUGUUCACGUGAUGGAAAAUACAGUUUUAUCGUCCUCUGGGCAAAACAAGUGUGGACUAGACUUAAGCUGACACCUUGUGAAACAGUCAACAUCUCCCUUGGAUUCCUCCACAAGUUAAUCAAAUGAUUACUCCAUGCCAGGAGAAUUCAGAUUCAAGAGUUAAUGACUAGGUUUGGUUUGUGUUGGCUCAGGUGAGACAUGCUCCCAAUGUUCAGCAUGAAAGAACUCAGACACUGUGAGGGUGAAAACAGUCCCUCUUUAAGUUGCAACAAUUAAGCUGUUAAGACUGAAUACACAAUGUCUUGCCACAAGACAUGCCAAAGCACCUAUUCUGUUGUGCACACAAGCUUUUUUAUGGAAGCAAAUCAGUACCUGAAUUUGUUGGUUUGGAAUUCACCUCUUUAAAAAUGAAAGUGUGUUGAAAUUUCAACAUUAAGUUUUCAAUGCCUUUAAAAAUUCAAAAUAUCAAGUCACUGAUUUGCUUCCAUACUUUUAAGAUUUGAGAUUUAUUUGCAUGUCGAAGAGAUAAUUACAACUGUCUAUGUUUAUGGAAACUAUGUACUAUUAUGUAUUAUGAAACUAUUAUGUUUUAUCUAUAAAUACCGCACUGGUUGUGUAGCAAUUUACUAGAACAGUUUUCAAACAAUGUCUGGAUGUGAUAGUCAUUUAUGUUCAAACAAUCGAUAACAAUAAGAGUUUUUCGUCAACACUGGUAUCAUGGCAAGAAAUGAACAGAAAACAAGUUUAACUGUAAAUAAAUGCAAAUCAUACAUGUAUUCCAGAUCUGUUCAGUCUCAUGAAGAUGUUUGU
Molecule: long non-coding RNA, 1088 nt
Organism: Hypomesus transpacificus
Lineage: Eukaryota; Metazoa; Chordata; Actinopteri; Osmeriformes; Osmeridae
Exons: 2
Source: RefSeq, a predicted model, not a curated record